This 435-nucleotide ribosomal RNA is filed under the name Triticum aestivum (bread wheat). RNAcentral's name for it is "partial small subunit ribosomal RNA". The record is from RNAcentral. Lineage: Eukaryota; Viridiplantae; Streptophyta; Magnoliopsida; Poales; Poaceae.
AUGUCAAACAGAGCCACACAUUGGUGUUAUGCGUGCCGUCGACCAAUUUGUCUUCGUGGAAAAGAUAUAAUCUGUCCCAACUGCAAUGAUGGGUUCGUACAAGAGAUCAGUGAGAGAGGAGGUGCUUUGAACAACUACGGUAUGUUUGGGCCACGCUUCGAUGAUCACCUAGAUGGACAAUUUGGAAUGAUGGAUGUUAUGUUUGCCCUCAUGCCUCUGUUCGAGCAGCGGCUAUUGCAGACCGGCAACCGUCAAGGGCCAGUGCCAGCUCCACAGUCUGCAAUCCACUCCAUGCCGGUGGUGAGGAUAACCCUUAGGCAUCUGAGCGAUGAUCCAGUCUGCUCACUCUGGACGGACAGAUCUGAAGUCGGCUUGUCGGCGAGGGAGAUGCCGUGCAAGCACCUUUACCAUGCCAGCUGCAUCAUCCCUAGUUGA